This 406-nucleotide ribosomal RNA is filed under the name uncultured bacterium. RNAcentral describes it as "partial 16S ribosomal RNA". It matches the Rfam family "Bacterial small subunit ribosomal RNA", at positions 30 to 526 of the family's 1533-position model. The record is from RNAcentral.
AUUGAACGCUGGCGGCAGGCUUAACACAUGCAAGUCGAGCGAGCGGCGGACGGGUGAGUAAUGUAUGGGAACCUGCCUGAUGGAGGGGGAUAACUACUGGAAACGGUAGCUAAUACCGCAUACCAUCAGAUGUGCCCAGAGGGGAUUAGCUAGUCGGUGGGGUAAUGGCUCACCUAGGCGACGGUCCCUAGCUGGUCUGAGAGGAUGACCAGCAACACGGGAAUUGGUGCACGGUCCAGACACCUACGGUAGGCAGCAGUGGGGAAUAUUGCACAAUGGCAGCAAGCCUGAUGCAGCCAUGCCGCGUGGGGGAGGAAGGCUUUCGGGUGGUAAAGCACUUUCUGCGAGGAGGCGUUACCCGCAGAAGAAGCACCGGCUAACUCCGUGCCAGCAGCCGCGGUAAUUC